ACGGGUGAGUAACGCGUGGGCAACCUGCCCUCCAGUUGGGGACAACAUUCCGAAAGGGAUGCUAAUACCGAAUGUGCUCCCUCCUCCGCAUGGAGGAGGGAGGAAAGAUGGCCUCUGCUUGCAAGCUAUCGCUGGAAGAUGGGCCCGCGUCUGAUUAGCUAGUUGGUGGGGUAACGGCUCACCAAGGCGAUGAUCAGUAGCCGGUCUGAGAGGAUGAACGGCCACAUUGGGACUGAGACACGGCCCAAACUCCUACGGGAGGCAGCAGUGGGGAAUCUUCCGCAAUGGACGAAAGUCUGACGGAGCAACGCCGCGUGAGUGAUGAAGGUCUUCGGAUUGUAAAACUCUGUUGUUAGGGACGAAAGCACCGUGUUCGAACAGGUCAUGGUGUUGACGGUACCUAACGAGGAAGCCACGGCUAACUACGUGCCAGCAGCCGCGGUAAUACGUAGGUGGCAAGCGUUGUCCGGAAUUAUUGGGCGUAAAG
This 487-nucleotide ribosomal RNA is filed under the name Acidaminococcus sp. HGA0017. RNAcentral's name for it is "bacterial SSU rRNA". It matches the Rfam family "Bacterial small subunit ribosomal RNA", at positions 102 to 565 of the family's 1533-position model. The record is from RNAcentral. Lineage: Bacteria; Bacillati; Bacillota; Negativicutes; Acidaminococcales; Acidaminococcaceae.